AUGGAGGCCGUGGUGGCGAGCGCCGUCACAGGAGCGAUGCGUACACUCCUGCCCAAGCUCGGCGUCCUGCUGGAGAAGUACAAGCUGUCCAAAGCCAUGAAGAAGGAGAUCGCCUCCUUGAGUGACGAGAUGAGCAGCAUGAACGCUCUGCUCGUGAAGCUGGCCAAGACCGAUGAUGGCGAGCUCGACGUGCAAGACAAGGUGUGGCGCGACCAGGUGCGCGAGCUGUCCUAUGAAAUGGAGGACUGCGUCGACGCCUUUACGGAUGAUCUUGAUGGUGGCGGCGGCAGGGUCGGGUUCUGGAGACGGCUUUCGACCAUCAAGACGCGGCACAACAUUGGCCGCCUGAUCGAAGAAUUGAAAUAUCGGGUGGUGGAAGUGAGUAAUCGCCACAACAGAUAUAAGCUUGAUGAGCCAGCUUGUACUACUUCUCGGAGCCCUGUGACCAUUGACCCUUGUCUAGAUGCACUGCAUACUGAGGCUGCCAGCCUUAUAGGCAUAGAUGGCCCUAAGGAGAAGCUCAUGGACCUAUUGCUGAGACAGGAUGAAUAUGCCAAUAAUCACUGGGCACUCAAAGUUGUAGCCAUCACUGGAUUUGGAGGUAUUGGCAAGACAACUCUUGCCAGCCAAGUCCGAGAUAUGAUCAAAGGUCAUUUCCACUGCACGGCCUUCGUAUCGGUGUCGCAGAAUCCAAGCAUGGUCGAUAUCUUGUCGACCAUACUCUCAGAAGUUGGGAGCUCCGUGCCUUCAUGGCAGAAUCACGAGCGUUUCCUCAUCAACAAACUGAGGGCACACCUCAUGGACAAAAGAUACCUUAUCGUCAUUGAUGAUAUAUGGAGAAUAGAAGCAUGGAAUAUUAUCAAAUGUGCCUUUGUGGAGAAUAACCUUGGUAGUAGAGUUAUAACAACUACACGUAUUGAAGAUGUGGCUCGGGCAUGUUGUUCUUGUUUCCUUGGCCAUGUGUACAAGGUCAAGCCUCUUAAUGAUCUUCACUCAAGGAGAUUAUUUUAUAGAAGGAUUUUCCCCUCUCAAGGUGCUUGUCCUGAGAAACUAAAGGAUGUCUCUGAUGAAAUUCUGAACAAAUGUGAAGGAGUUCCAUUAGUCAUAGUCAGUGUAGCUAGCAUUUUGGCUAGUCAUAAAGAGGGAUACUCAAAGAUAUUCUGGGAGAAGAUACAAAAUUAUUUAGGUUUGCAGUUGGAAGGUAACCGUGCUCUACAAUGGCUGAGACAUGUGCUUAAUCUAGGGUACAUUGAUUUAUCUCUGGACCUUAGGACAUGUAUGCUAUAUCUUGGUAUAUUCCCAGAAGAUUCUGAAAUAAUGAAGGAUGAUUUGAAGAAGAGAUGGAUAGCCGAGGGUUUCGUUACUGAAAGGCAUGGUUAUGGCCCGGAGUCGAUUGCAGAAGAUUUCUUUAAUGAGCUGAUUAAUAAAAACAUGAUACAAAUUGCAGAGUUUGAUGAUUGUGGGCACGUGUUAUCUUGUCGGGUGCAUGAUGUAAUGCUUGAGUUUAUCGUAUGGAAGUCCACGGAAGAAAAUUUCAUCAAUAUAAUCAAGGGACCCCCUACAGUUGAUGAUCCGCAAUGCAUGAAAGGAUGUUUGCAGGUUCGCAGGUUAUCCCUACAAGUCAGAAAUUCGCAGCACAAUGAGUUGCUGGGAAGCAUGGCUCUGACACAGGCCAGAUCAUUCAACUUUUGGGGGUCUGCUCAAUGGAUGCCUUCACUGUCGAGAUUUCAUGUCCUGCGAGUUCUACAUCUCGAUCUUGGUGUUUAUGACUCCAGAAAUGAGGAGGAACUGUCCUCCAUAGGCAGCUUUACCCAACUGAGGUAUUUGAGGAUCAGAGGCGCUGUGUUUAAGAAACUCCAGAGACAGUUGCAAAGAUUACAACAUCUGAAGACGUUGGAGAUAGUUGGCGAAGACAUAAAUGAGUUUUUACACCUAGAGCUCAAUGUCACAAAGUUACCACCGACGUUGUGGCACCUGAUUGUUCCAUAUACUGUGAAGCUGCCUGGUGAGAUCAGCAGGAUGCGUGCCCUCCGCACUCUGGGUGAACUCAGCAUAGAUCUCCAAGAUGUGGAGAACAUCAAAGGGCUCGGUGAACUGGGAGAUCUGAGGGACCUGAGGAUAAUUCUAGAUAAAGGUGUCCGGGAAGGCGAUUGUGCGGAUCUUGCUGGUUCCCUGAGCAGGCUCAAAUGCCUUGAGUCCCUAACCGUCCGUAUGGCUGGAUCCGUCAAAAUUGUUGAUGUCCUGACUAGCUGGUCGCCUCCUCCACGACAUCUUCGAAGACUACAUGGCUAG
This 2292-nucleotide ribosomal RNA is filed under the name Triticum aestivum (bread wheat). RNAcentral describes it as "partial small subunit ribosomal RNA". Lineage: Eukaryota; Viridiplantae; Streptophyta; Magnoliopsida; Poales; Poaceae. The record is from RNAcentral.